CGGUUGAUCCUGCCGGACCCUACCGCUAUCGGGGUGGGACUAAAACAUGCAAGUCGAGCGUCUCCCAAGCUGUUGUGGAGGCGCGGCGCAAAACUCAGUAACACGUGGCCUUCCUGCCCUUGGGACGGGGAUACCCUCGGGAAACUGGGGCUAAUCCCCGAUAGGUGAAGAAGCCUGGAAUGGUUCUUCACCGAAAAGGCGUUAGAGGCAUGCUCUCUAACGCCGCCCAAGGAUGGGGCCGCGUCCGAUCAGGUUGUUGGUGAGGUAACGGCUCACCAAGCCUAUAACCGGUACGGGCCGUGAGAGCGGAAGCCCGGAGAUGGGCACUGAGAUAAGGGCCCAGGCCCUACGGGGCGCAGCAGUUGCGAAAACUCGCCAAUGCACGAAAGUGUGAGCGGGCUACCCCGAGUGCCGUCCGCUGAGGAUGGCUUUUCUCCGCUGUAAGGAGGCGGAGGAAUAAGGAGAGGGCAAGACUGGUGUCAGCCGCCGCGGUAAUACCAGCUCUCCGAGUGGUAGGGGUGAUUAUUGGGCUUAAAGCGUCCGUAGUCGGCCUAGCAAGUCUUUCGUUAAAUCCAGCAACCUAAUUGUUGGGCUGCGGAGGAUACUGUUAGGCUAGGGGGCGGGAGAGGCCGACGGUAUUCUCGGGGUAGGGGUGAAAUCUUAUAAUCCCGGGAGGACCACCAGUGGCGAAGGCUGUCGGCUAGCACGCGCCUGACGGUGAGGGACGAAAGCUGGGGGAGCGAACCGGAUUAGAUACCCGGGUAGUCCCAGCUGUAAACGAUGCGGGCUAGGUGUUGGGGCGGCUACGAGCCGCUCCAGUGCCGCAGCGAAGGCGUUAAGCCCGCCGCCUGGGGAGUACGGCCGCAAGGCUGAAACUUAAAGGAAUUGGCGGGGGAGCAC
This 900-nucleotide ribosomal RNA is filed under the name uncultured archaeon. Its description in RNAcentral is "bacterial SSU rRNA". It matches the Rfam family "Archaeal small subunit ribosomal RNA", at positions 5 to 879 of the family's 1478-position model. The record is from RNAcentral.